RNAcentral lists this ribosomal RNA (468 nucleotides) under uncultured bacterium. RNAcentral describes it as "partial 16S ribosomal RNA". It matches the Rfam family "Bacterial small subunit ribosomal RNA", at positions 28 to 507 of the family's 1533-position model. The record is from RNAcentral.
GACGAACGCUGGCGGCGUGCUUAACACAUGCAAGUCGAACGGAAAGGCCCCGCUUUUGUGGGGUGCUCGAGUGGCGAACGGGUGAGUAACACGUGAGUAACCUGCCCUUGACUUUGGGAUAACUUCAGGAAACUGGGGCUAAUACCGGAUAGGAGCUCCUGCUGCAUGGUGGGGGUUGGAAAGUUUGGGCGGUUGGGGAUGGACGCGCGGCUUAUCAGCUUGUUGGUGGGGUAGUGGCUUACCAAGGCUUUGACGGGUAGCCGGCCUGAGAGGGUGACCGGCCACAUUGGGACUGAGAUACGGCCCAGACUCCUACGGGAGGCAGCAGUGGGGAAUAUUGCACAAUGGGCGGAAGCCUGAUGCAGCAACGCCGCGUGCGGGAUGACGGCCUUCGGGUUGUAAACCGCUUUCGCCUGUGACGAAGCGUGAGUGACGGUAAUGGGUGAAGAAGCACCGGCUAACUACGUG